Molecule: small nuclear RNA, 104 nt
Organism: Ochotona curzoniae (black-lipped pika)
Lineage: Eukaryota; Metazoa; Chordata; Mammalia; Lagomorpha; Ochotonidae
Source: RefSeq, a predicted model, not a curated record
GUGCUAGCUUCGGCAGCACAAAUACUAAACUUGGAAUGAUACAGAGAUUAGCAUAAUCCCUGCACAAGGGUGAUGCGCAAAAUCGUGAAGUGUUCCAUAUUUUU